RNAcentral lists this non-coding RNA (30 nucleotides) under Mus musculus (house mouse). Lineage: Eukaryota; Metazoa; Chordata; Mammalia; Rodentia; Muridae. The record is from RNAcentral.
UCAGCAACUAAAGAAAGCAUAGGCCUGAUA